RNAcentral lists this long non-coding RNA (442 nucleotides) under Musa acuminata (dwarf banana). RNAcentral describes it as "long non-coding RNA (MACU_LNC000152)". Lineage: Eukaryota; Viridiplantae; Streptophyta; Magnoliopsida; Zingiberales; Musaceae. The record is from RNAcentral.
GGCAAGUAGGCGACUGCAGGGAAACAGGGGUCCCCCGGCGGGACCCAUCGGUGACUAAUUUCGGCAGGUGGAGACGGUAACGGGACCUGCCACAUCGAUUUUAGGGUUCUUGUCAUUGUGGUGUGGCCAUCAGUGCAGCAAACUCUUUUGUGAGAUACUUAUUGAUGGCGGUUAGGUGCUGCUGCUUUGGAUGGUUACUGGGAAGAUGGGCUACAGAGAAGAUCUAGCAACUGUAGUUUGCCCGGAUUCCUGACUCCCACCCCGACGCUCUCGACUGGUCUGGCUGUGAUACGAAAAUAAUAAUAGCACGUAGUUGUCAGCAUUCGUCAGAGAGGCAACGAAGCUUUUGACACAAACACAUCACGCUCACUUGUACUCGAAGAAGCGAUGUGAGCUUGCAAGCUCUUUAAAAGCGACGAGUACGUACCCGACUGUUUUGAGA